Molecule: ribosomal RNA, 463 nt
Filed under: uncultured bacterium
Lineage: Bacteria
Description: partial 16S ribosomal RNA
Rfam family: Bacterial small subunit ribosomal RNA
Source: RNAcentral
CCUACGGGAGACAGCAGUGGGGAAUAUUGCGCAAUGGGCGAAAGCCUGACGCAGCGACGCCGCGUGAGGGAUGAAGGCCUUCGGGUUGUAAAGAUCUGUUGACAGGGACGAAUAAGCAAUGCGACUCGUUUUGUUUAUGACGGUACCUGUUUAGAAAGCUCCGGCUAACUACGUGCCAGCAGCCGCGGUAAUACGUAGGGAGCAAGCGUUGUCCGGAAUUACUGGGCGUAAAGGUCGCGUAGGUGGGCGCUUAAGUCAGGUGUGAAACCUCCGGGCUCAACCUGGAGACUGCACGUGAAACUGGGUGUCUGGAGGGCAGGAGAGGAAAGUGGAAGUCCUAGUGUAGCGGUGAAAUGCGUAGAUAUUAGGAGGAACACCAGUGGCGAAGGCGACUUGCUGGACUGUACCUGACGCUGAGGCGCGAAAGCGUGGGUAGCGAACGGGAUUAGAUACCCGGGUAGUC